CGUACACUCCUACGGGAGGCAGCAGUGGGGAAUUUUGGACAAUGGGCGAAAGCCUGAUCCAGCCAUGCCGCGUGCAGGAUGAAGGCCUUCGGGUUGUAAACUGCUUUUGUACGGAACGAAACAGCCUUUUCUAAUAAAGAGGGCUAAUGACGGUACCGUAAGAAUAAGCACCGGCUAACUACGUGCCAGCAGCCGCGGUAAUACGUAGGGUGCAAGCGUUAAUCGGAAUUACUGGGCGUAAAGCGUGCGCAGGCGGUUAUGUAAGACAGUUGUGAAAUCCCCGGGCUCAACCUGGGAACUGCAUCUGUGACUGCAUAGCUAGAGUACGGUAGAGGGGGAUGGAAUUCCGCGUGUAGCAGUGAAAUGCGUAGAUAUGCGGAGGAACACCGAUGGCGAAGGCAAUCCCCUGGACCUGUACUGACGCUCAUGCACGAAAGCGUGGGGAGCAAACAGGAUUAGAUACCCCAGUAGUCCCA
RNAcentral lists this ribosomal RNA (476 nucleotides) under uncultured organism. RNAcentral's name for it is "partial 16S ribosomal RNA". It matches the Rfam family "Bacterial small subunit ribosomal RNA", at positions 330 to 797 of the family's 1533-position model. The record is from RNAcentral.